UACGAAGGGGGCUAGCGUUGUUCGGAAUUACUGGGCGUAAAGCGCGCGCAGGCGGUUCUUCAAGUCUGUGGUGAAAGCCCGGAGCUCAACUCCGGAACUGCCAUUGAAACUGUAGAACUUGAGGAUGAGAGAGGUGAGUGGAAUUCCCAGUGUAGAGGUGAAAUUCGUAGAUAUUGGGAAGAACACCGGUGGCGAAGGCGGCUCACUGGCUCAUUUCUGACGCUCAGGCGCGACAGCGUGGGGAUCAAACAGG
RNAcentral lists this ribosomal RNA (253 nucleotides) under uncultured bacterium. RNAcentral describes it as "partial 16S ribosomal RNA". It matches the Rfam family "Bacterial small subunit ribosomal RNA", at positions 524 to 776 of the family's 1533-position model. The record is from RNAcentral.